UAUUUAUGAGAACAGGGGUUGUCCAAUUUUUAAACUUGGAGCCCAACCUUCUCACUUUCUAACCCUGUGCAUCUGUAUCUAACGGUGAGCUGCCUUCGGGUGGCGAGCCUUCACUUUAAAACACCAAGUCUAUGAAUGUAUAUAAUCAUAACUAUAUAAAAACUUUCAACAACGGAUCUCUUGGCUCUCGCAUCGAUGAAGAACGCAACGAAAUGCGAUACGUAAUGUGAAUUGCAGAAUUCAGUGAAUCAUCGAAUCUUUGAACGCAUCUUGCACUCUCUGGUAUUCCGGAAAGUAUGUCUGUUGGAGUGUCAUGAAUUCUUCAACCCCACCGUUUCUUGCAAACGCGUGGGUGCUUGGAUUCUGAGCGCUGCUGGCUUCGGCCUAGCUCGUUCGUAAUGCAUUAUCAUCCCGAUGACAAAUUUGGAUUGACUUGGCGUAUGAGACUAUUCGCUGAGGAGUAAGUGGCCUUCGGGUUACUGAGCCAACUCGUUUCAGGAAGCUUCUAAUCCCUAAAGUCUACCUUUUACAUUAUAUCUCCAAUCACGCAUGAUUACCCGCUGAACGUUCCGUAUAUAUACGCGGAGAGAAAACAUUAGUGAAUAAACAGGGUGUCCAUUUAACUUGGAGCCCACCUUCUCACUUUCUAACCCUGUGCAUCUGUAUCUGACGGUGAGCUGCCUUCGGGUGGCGAGCCUUCACUUUAAACACCGAGUCUAUGAAUGUAUAUAUCAUAACUAUACUAAAACUUUCACACGGAUCUCUUGGCUCUCGCAUCGAUGAGACGCACGAUGCGAUACGUAUGUGAAUGCAGAAUCAGUGAAUCAUCGGAUCUUUGAACGCAUCUGCACUCUCUGGUAUUCGAAGUAUGUCAUGUUGAGUGUCAUGAAGUUCUUGCAGCCCACCGUUCUUGCGAACGCGUGGGGUGCCGUGAGAAUUCGAGACGCUGCUCGCGUCGCCUACACUGGUCGUAUUGCAUAGCAUCCGAAUACACGCUGAUGACUGGGCUAUAGAACAUUCCUAGGAAUGACUACGGCUACGGACAUCAUCGGAACGUCGAAUCCUAUCACGUUGAUAAAUCCAAUCGCAGUACCUUACUUAGCCUGCAAUACGCGAGA
This 1118-nucleotide ribosomal RNA is filed under the name Sporobolomyces salmonicolor. RNAcentral's name for it is "eukaryotic LSU rRNA". The stretch from base 161 to 314 matches the Rfam family "5.8S ribosomal RNA". Lineage: Eukaryota; Fungi; Basidiomycota; Microbotryomycetes; Sporidiobolales; Sporidiobolaceae. The record is from RNAcentral.